GUGAUGCAAAUAACAUGUCAUUCUGGAUUUAUUUAGUUCAUGACGAGAAAAGUUCAACCCACAUCCUUGAUCUCAAACACGACAACGUGACAAAUUGAUCAUAAACUCUACCACUCUGAAUGGUCGACUAACUCAUACAUGGAUUGAUUCACAGCACACAACUCACUAGGUGACACAACUUGAGAUUGUUUUCUCAAUAAUGUCUCGAAAUCGGACCAGGAAACUCGAAAUGAAAGUUGCAAACUUGUACCACUAAAUCAAACUCAGGUUACAUAUAUAAACAAAGAAAGAUACCCAUCACUAACGAUGUCGCACCCGUUUCCAAUGAGUUUCUGGGGAGGAUUCGCUGCACUUGCAAAACUGCAGAAUUUACUCCAAUUUCCCUUCCUGCAAAUCCAUUGAGAUUUCACACAUUCAUCAUACACCAAAUUUCUUCUUCUUCUUCUUCUUCUUCUUCUUCUUCUUCUUCUUCUCAAUCUCAUUCAAUUCUUCCUUUCUCUCUCUUCACCUCUCUUCCUCCAUCAUUAAUUAAGCUUUAAUGAAAAAGCUCAUCUCUCUUCCACCCCUCCUUGUAUAUAAUGCUCUUUAAACUUAUUCAAAUCCACCACCGCUCAACCACAACAAAAAUACCUCUUCCUCUUCAAGCAAACUUUCACCAUAUCCAUCUCGCCUGUCCAAAAAAGGUCAGCAAAGAUAGCAAAUUAGUAGAAUUCGAGCUAAUUUGAACUAAUGAUGUUUUAUUUUUGCUGCAGGAUGAACAGAAGGAACAACAACCGCAACCGCAACAGAAACACCAUUAACAACAUUCCAGAGCUGGACUUGAAGCUAAGCCUCUCACCAAGCAGGGGAAUGGAGUCGCCUAGCCGGUCGUCAACAAUGUCGUCGGCUUCACCACCGAGCUCCUCCUGUGUGACCUCGUUGGAGACGAACCAGGACGAGAGCAGUACUAUGCUGAGGUUUACAUCCAGCCCCGAUGCGACUUCCAU
Molecule: long non-coding RNA, 986 nt
Filed under: Linum usitatissimum (flax)
Lineage: Eukaryota; Viridiplantae; Streptophyta; Magnoliopsida; Malpighiales; Linaceae
Description: long non-coding RNA (LUSI_LNC005627)
Source: RNAcentral